RNAcentral lists this ribosomal RNA (722 nucleotides) under Actinomadura nitritigenes. Its description in RNAcentral is "bacterial SSU rRNA". It matches the Rfam family "Bacterial small subunit ribosomal RNA", at positions 21 to 758 of the family's 1533-position model. The record is from RNAcentral. Lineage: Bacteria; Bacillati; Actinomycetota; Actinomycetes; Streptosporangiales; Thermomonosporaceae.
GGCUCAGGACGAACGCUGGCGGCGUGCUUAACACAUGCAAGUCGAGCGGAAAGGCCCCUUCGGGGGUACUCGAGCGGCGAACGGGUGAGUAACACGUGAGCAACCUGCCCCUGACUCUGGGAUAAGCCCGGGAAACUGGGUCUAAUACCGGAUAUGACCACGGGUCGCAUGGCCUUGUGGUGGAAAGUUUUUCGGUUGGGGAUGGGCUCGCGGCCUAUCAGCUUGUUGGUGGGGUGAUGGCCUACCAAGGCGACGACGGGUAACCGGCCUGAGAGGGCGACCGGUCACACUGGGACUGAGACACGGCCCAGACUCCUACGGGAGGCAGCAGUGGGGAAUAUUGCGCAAUGGGCGGAAGCCUGACGCAGCGACGCCGCGUGGGGGAUGACGGCCUUCGGGUUGUAAACCUCUUUCAGCAGGGACGAAGCUAACGUGACGGUACCUGCAGAAGAAGCGCCGGCUAACUACGUGCCAGCAGCCGCGGUAAUACGUAGGGCGCAAGCGUUGUCCGGAAUUAUUGGGCGUAAAGAGCUCGUAGGCGGUUUGUCGCGUCUGUCGUGAAAGCCCACGGCUUAACUGUGGGUCUGCGGUGGAUACGGGCAGACUAGAGGCAGGUAGGGGAGAAUGGAAUUCCCGGUGUAGCGGUGAAAUGCGCAGAUAUCGGGAGGAACACCGGUGGCGAAGGCGGUUCUCUGGGCCUGUACUGACGCUGAGGAGCGAAA